CCAGAUUUGACUUUUAAACCAAUUAUUAUUAAUUUCACAUAGUUAGUUACCAACCAAGAAUCUUUUGUUACAGUCAAGAAUUUAAAUAAAUUAAAUAUAGUAGAUUUGAAACUUAUUCCCUAUGGGACGAUAACUUUCUCAUCACAAUUAUUAUUUGUACAACAAACCUGUAUGGCUGUGGGAUUUGGAUGAACAAGUUUUUGGCGCUAUUGUAGGGUAAUAAUGGUGUUAAUUUUAGUUAUUGGGUAUUAUAGAUUCGUUUUCAUUUUGACUCUUGUUAUUUUUAGGCUAUUACUAUACUGCUUAAUUCUUUUGCAUCUUGACCAUUUUCAGAUGAAUUUGGUAUAUGCAAAAUCAUGACGAACCCGAUCUAAUUCCAAUAGAUCACGAAAUCAAAAGGACAUUCAGAAAAUCAUAGAAGAGUGCAACAUCAAACAAGGAGAAUGGCUGAUAAAUCAGAAUCAACCGCAGAAUCAAAUUCAGGUUUAGGAGCAACUAUCGCAGCCAAAUCAACAGAGAGCUAUCGAGAAUGAAGCUCCUAUUUUAGUUGGGGAUUAAUGUAAAUCCAAUUCCUGUACCAGUGCAACCUGUCGUAGUAUAUCCUUCUUUCGGACAAUUUAAUUUCCACUUCAAAUCGGAUGUCAUAAAUCAAUUUCAAAAUCACUAAGACGUUCGGCUUUUUGGGAAAGUCACAAAGAACCUUCAUGAACAUAUUUCGGCUUUUCUCAUGUUAUGUGAAAUGAUCGGCCACAAAGGGAUAUCAGCAAGACUCAUUUCGAAU
This 781-nucleotide long non-coding RNA is filed under the name Olea europaea subsp. europaea. Lineage: Eukaryota; Viridiplantae; Streptophyta; Magnoliopsida; Lamiales; Oleaceae. The record is from RNAcentral.